AGAAAAUGGACAUUAAUCACAUUCAACAACAAUUUUCACAAGAUCACUUGGCAAAUUUACUUGAAAUACAGGGAGUAUUCUACCUCAUGUUCGAGGAUAACACAACUGUACUAGGCAUAAAUGCGGAGUCCACAGACUCAUCCAGUUGAUACUCGAGGCACUAGGGUGGUAGUCUGUAAGGAAACGAAUGGUUCCAUCAUUGCCGCAUGACACUGAAGAAUGGUGCGUAGAUCAAUGGGCUUCCAUCGUACAGCUCCCUCUAUAUAGAAUAGAACGGGUUAGCGAAGAUCUUGGAUGAGGGUGUAACCCAAAGCGAGGGGCAUAUGCAAUAAUUUAUGGUGGCAUGUACCUAUCAACCAUUACCCUCUAUAGGAAACCAUUGGAUUGUCGUCCAUGGAAGAUAAAAC
This 407-nucleotide long non-coding RNA is filed under the name Phoenix dactylifera (date palm). RNAcentral describes it as "long non-coding RNA (PDAC_LNC017886)". Lineage: Eukaryota; Viridiplantae; Streptophyta; Magnoliopsida; Arecales; Arecaceae. The record is from RNAcentral.